RNAcentral lists this ribosomal RNA (275 nucleotides) under uncultured bacterium. RNAcentral's name for it is "partial 16S ribosomal RNA". It matches the Rfam family "Bacterial small subunit ribosomal RNA", at positions 399 to 691 of the family's 1533-position model. The record is from RNAcentral.
GCGUGGACGAUGAAGGCCCUAGGGUUGUAAAGUCCUUUCACCGGUGACGAUAAUGACGGUAGCCGGAGAAGAAGCCCCGGCUAACUCCGUGCCAGCAGCCGCGGUAAUACGGAGGGGGCUAGCGUUGUUCGGAAUUACUGGGCGUAAAGCGCACGUAGGCGGAUUGUUAAGUCGGGGGUGAAAUCCCGGGGCUCAACCCCGGAACUGCCUUCGAUACUGGCAAUCUUGAGGUCGAGAGAGGUGAGUGGAAUUCCGAGUGUAGAGGUGAAAUUCGU